CGGGGAAUUUUGGACAAUGGGCGCAAGCCUGAUCCAGCAAUGCCGCGUGAGUGAAGAAGGCCUUCGGGUUGUAAAGCUCUUUUGUCAGGGAAGAAACGGGUCUUUCUAAUACAGAGGCCUAAUGACGGUACCUGAAGAAUAAGCACCGGCUAACUACGUGCCAGCAGCCGCGGUAAUACGUAGGGUGCAAGCGUUAAUCGGAAUUACUGGGCGUAAAGCGUGCGCAGGCGGUUUGUAAGUCUGUUGUGAAAUCCCCGGGCUCAACCUGGGAAUGGCAAUGGAGACUGCAAGGCUAGAGUUUGGCAGAGGGGGGUAGAAUUCACGUGUAGCAGUGAAAUGCGUAGAUAUGUGGAGGAACACCGAUGGCGAAGGCAGCCCCCUGGGUCAAAACUGACGCUCAUGCACGAAAGCGUGGGGAGCAAACAGGAUUAGAUACCCUGGUAGUCCACGCCCUAAACGAUGUCUACUAGUUGUCGGGUCUUAAUUGACUUGGUAACGCA
Molecule: ribosomal RNA, 500 nt
Filed under: uncultured Pseudomonadota bacterium
Lineage: Bacteria; Pseudomonadati; Pseudomonadota
Description: bacterial SSU rRNA
Rfam family: Bacterial small subunit ribosomal RNA
Source: RNAcentral